AGCGAACGCUGGCGGCAGGCCUAACACAUGCAAGUCGAACGGACUCUUCGGAGUUAGUGGCGGACGGGUGAGUAACACGUGGGAACGUGCCUUUUGGUUCGGAAUAAGCUCGGGAAACUGGGUCUAAUACCGAAUGUGCCCUUCGGGGAAAGGAUUAUCGCCAUUAGAGCGGCCCGCGUCUGAUUAGCUAGUUGGUGGUGUAAUGGACCACCAAGGCGACGAUCAGUAGCUGGUCUGAGAGGAUGACCAGCCAC
RNAcentral lists this ribosomal RNA (254 nucleotides) under uncultured bacterium. Its description in RNAcentral is "partial 16S ribosomal RNA". It matches the Rfam family "Bacterial small subunit ribosomal RNA", at positions 29 to 311 of the family's 1533-position model. The record is from RNAcentral.